GGUUGAUGCUGGUAGUUUAUCUGCAUGUGCUCACUCUUCUGAUUUAUUUACACCUGUGCACUUCAUUUUUUCAAAGGCUAGGGUAGAACCUGGCUUUGGAACUUAUAAACCCCCUAUAUUGAAGUAAUGGAUGUUUAUCUGCCACAGGCAAAUUUUAAUACAACUUUUAACAACGGAUCUCUUGGCUCUCGCAUCGAUGAAGAACGCAGCGAAAUGCGAUAAGUAAUGUGAAUUGCAGAAUUCAGUGAAUCAUCGAAUCUUUGAACGCACCUUGCGCUCUCUGGUAUUCCGGGGAGCACGCCUGUUCGAGUGUCAUUAAAACUCUCAAAUAAAGAUGGCUUUUNCAGCCAUCUCUGUUUGGAUUUGGGCUUUGCUGCAUUAGUGUGGCUAGUCUUAAAUGUAUUAGCUGAUCCUCAUUGGGGGGUUUUUGGUUCUACUCAGCGUGAUAAUUAUCUAACGUUGAGGACAGUCUCAGAACUGGCCAUAGCUCUCUCUCUGGAUUGCUUCUAAAUUGUCUUGAGGGCAAUUGCUUAAUUUCUGACCUCGAAUCAGGUGGGACUACC
RNAcentral lists this ribosomal RNA (563 nucleotides) under Hydnum rufescens. RNAcentral describes it as "eukaryotic LSU rRNA". The stretch from base 162 to 315 matches the Rfam family "5.8S ribosomal RNA". The record is from RNAcentral. Lineage: Eukaryota; Fungi; Basidiomycota; Agaricomycetes; Cantharellales; Hydnaceae.